Molecule: ribosomal RNA, 503 nt
Filed under: uncultured Terriglobales bacterium
Lineage: Bacteria; Pseudomonadati; Acidobacteriota; Terriglobia; Terriglobales
Description: bacterial SSU rRNA
Rfam family: Bacterial small subunit ribosomal RNA
Source: RNAcentral
GGGAGGCAGCAGUGGGGAAUCUUGCACAAUGGAGGCAACUCUGAUGCAGCGACGCCGCGUGAGCGAUGAAGCCCUUCGGGGUGUAAAGCUCUUUCGACGGGGACGAUAAUGACGGUACCNGNAGAAGAAGCUGCGGCUAACUACGUGCCAGCAGCCGCGGUAAUACGUAGGCAGCGAGCGUUGUUCGGAAUUACUGGGCGUAAAGAGUGUGUAGGCGGUGCUCUAAGUUCGGUGUGAAAUCUCCUGGCUUAACUGGGAGGGUGCGCCGGAAACUGGAAUGCUCGAGCGUGGGAGAGGWAAGCGGAAUUCCUGGUGUAGCGGUGAAAUGCGUAGAUAUCAGGAGGAACACCUGUGGUGUAGACAGCUUUCUGGACCAUUGCUGACGCUGAGACACGAAAGCGUGGGUAGCAAACAGGAUUAGAUACCCUGGUAGUCCACGCCCUAAACGAUGCAUACUUGGUGUCGGCCAUUCAGUUGGUCGGUGCCGGAGCUAACGCGUUAAG